CCCUACGGGGCGCAGCAGUGAGGAAUAUUGAUCAAUGGGCGAGAGCCUGAACCAGCCAAGUCGCGUGAGGGAAGACGGUCCUAUGGAUUGUAAACCUCUUUUGCCGGGGAGCAAAAAGCGGUACGUGUACCGCAUCGAGAGUACCCGGAGAAAAAGCAUCGGCUAACUCCGUGCCAGCAGCCGCGGUAACACGGAGGAUGCGAGCGUUAUCCGGAUUUAUUGGGUUUAAAGGGUGCGCAGGCGGCGAGUUAAGUCAGCGGUAAAAUUUCGGGGCUCAACCCCGGCGAGCCGUUGAAACUGGCUUG
RNAcentral lists this ribosomal RNA (305 nucleotides) under uncultured bacterium. Its description in RNAcentral is "bacterial SSU rRNA". It matches the Rfam family "Bacterial small subunit ribosomal RNA", at positions 337 to 640 of the family's 1533-position model. The record is from RNAcentral.